Molecule: long non-coding RNA, 3895 nt
Organism: Trifolium pratense (red clover)
Lineage: Eukaryota; Viridiplantae; Streptophyta; Magnoliopsida; Fabales; Fabaceae
Exons: 3
Source: RefSeq, a predicted model, not a curated record
CUCAAAACCCUAAUCCGAACCCCACUUCUCAGUCCUUAUAAAUAUAUCCCCAAACACAAACCCUAAUUGCACCAAUUGUUUCUACCAGCAAAUAAUUCAUCCCAACCAAUCUCAAAUCAAUAUGUUUUGAACCCGUGACUAGAAGGCAGAUGCAUUAUGGAAGUUAAUUUUUUGAUCUUUUUGUAACUCUGAAUAGAAUAGUUUUCUUUUUUAAGACAAUGAAUGAACAUCUUUUUAUCUAUCCAUAAUUUUGGUUUGAAUCUUAAUCUCAAAUAGAUUUUUCCCUUAAAAAUGAUUUACAUUGGGUUCCAUUGUUUUCCUCUUAAAAAUGAUAUUGAAAAAGCUACACUCAUUGCUUUUGCAAAAUCACACAUGCAUUUGGUGGCAUGUGUUUUACUAAAUUUGUUUGAAAAAUCAUGCCAUUUAGAUUUUUAUAUAGCAUAUGUUUUGUUUAGUCAUGAUUUAAUUUUAAAUAAAGAUAGUUUUUUGGCAUGAAAUGCAAGGAGAUAUGAUGAUAUUUAUCCAACGGUUCUGUUAUAGAUGAUGAAACAAACAUGCACUACCAUCUGAUCUUUUGCAAGUUUUUUUAAAGCAUUCAUAAGUCUCUAGAUUUCUUGAAUUAAGCCUUUUUUUCUCACUUUAUGUAUAUUUAUUUGCCUAUGGUAUCUGAUGUCCAGAAUUCGGACUUCUGUCUUGUCGCUGGACAUUUCGUUUUUACGGGCAUACAUUGAACUUUUACAGGUCUUGCGACACAGAGGUUUUCUACAAUAUUAGCCUACUGUUACUAAUUCCAUGUUUAUAUUUUUUACAUAUAUUUAUAAAAGAGAAGUUGUUCUCUUAACAUAUAUAGAUCUUGAAAUUGUCAUCUUUACAGCGAGCUAGUUAUUCAUACUUGACUUUCUCGUGUCUGAGGAUGACAAUAUCAUCUUCACAUCCAUUGAUGCCACGCUUUGUUUGCCAAGGAAACAAAAUUUCCUUGUUUACCUAGGUGUUGAUGGUACAUUUUCUUUACAAUGCCCACUUAGUUUUAUUAACUCAAUCUAGGAGUCAAAGUAGUUAGUUAUCAAAGUUUUUUGUUUUUCCACCUCUUGUAAACUAUCUACCCUUCUUGGAUUAUGUUGUGUCUGUGUUGAUACUUCAAAACUUGUAGUUGAGUUUGUUUGUAUUUUAUUUGUUGAAAAUUGUGAUUUAUGAUUGUGUAGGAGCCUUGAGUUUUUAGGAACAAUUGUUACAAUUAUAUUGUAAUUUGUUUUCUUUUGAUACAUGAGCAUUACCAUCUUCCGACUGCUUUGUUCAUUAGCUUUGAGGAGUUCAUUUUUAUAAUUGCUCUAAAUAAAUGUUUGAUGGAAUUAGUUAGGCUUCUUGCGCUGAUUGUAAAUGUGCUUGGAGUUUGGAUUAUUCCUACAUUUUGUGUUUUUCAAUUCUAUCAUUUGAGGUGUUUUUACUUUUUAACUUGUUUCCUUGAAAUUUAUUCUUUGAACAAAGUUUUUCACCGUAAUUUUUUGGUGAACAAAAUAUUGUAACUUGUUUUGUUUAGAUAUGAUCAUUAGGUUUGAGGAGUUCAUUUUGAUUAUGCUCUAAAUGAAUAUUUGUUGAAAUAGAUGAUGUUUUGUUAACAAGCAGGGAUAGUGUGUAUCGGUGUUUUGCUAUGAUCAAAUGCAUUCUUCCGAAAGUGUUCCCUAGCAAUAUUAAUUUUGGAAAAUGGGCAGUUGUGUUUCAUUUUAAAGUUGAAAAUCACAACAAUCAUUUUCCCUACAUUUACAACCCCCAUUUUGUUAAUCUUUUACAAAGUUGUUCUCUUAACAUUUAUAGAUAUUGUUUGUUUCACCCAUUUUGGGUUAAUGUUUUCAUAAUCUAAUUCAUAAAAUGAAAUUGAUUGUUCAGGUAUGAACUUUGAUUCUCUUCAUGUCCUGAGUCACGAUUCACUCAGAAGAUGCACAUUUUGCUGGUUUAGCAGUGUGUCAUGAUACGUGCACAUCCAAUUAUUAAUUGGAAUGAAGUGUGUAAUGAUUUGAUACUGGUUCAUCGUACCAGCUAUAUCAAGCCAUAUUAUCGAAUAUAUCGAGUUGGAUCUCUUGUGGGAUCUUUCUUUUCGCAAUUCGAUACUUUAUUUUCCCUCAAUUUUCUCAUUCUUUUUUAUUUGUCUUCAAUCAACCAUGUUUUUACUAUCUGUUGAUGUUUAAUAAGAGUAAGGUAAUGGAUUUUGAUAGUUUUUCAACAAAGGUUGCUGGUAAUGUAGUGUGGAAAUUUUCUUUUUCAGGUUUCUCUGCACUUCCCAUGACCAGCUACAUUUAGAGCUUCCAACCACCCCUACCCGGAUGAUUUCUUUUCUGUAUCUUAUCAUCCCUGUCAAGAUUGUCGGGAUGGUAAUGUGGAGAUCUUUUUCUUUUGGGUUUCUCUAAACCUCCCAUGACCAGCUACAUUAGAGCCUCCGAAUCCAAUCUUUCAGGUUUCUGUACCUUCCAUUUUCUGUUUUGCAUUUUGGUUUUUAAGUUUUUGGUUCUCUGAUAUAUACUUUACUGACUCCAGACUUAAGUCAUGUGUCCUUCUAUCAUACCAUGGUUGAUACAGUUACUAGUCUGGAAAAUUAACGAGUCCAUCGUUACAGAUGAAGUUUUAUUUGUGCUUGCAUCUGCUCCAUUUGGACUCUACAGUUCUAUGUCCUCAACUAUGUUCGCUUGUUGUUAUGGGUCUGUUUGGUUGGAAGAAAAGAAAUGGAAGGAAGGAAAAUACGGAAACUGAAGUGUAUGUGAAGUUUUCUAUAGCGAAGUAUAUUCUUAAAUGUGGGUCUCUCACUUUGGAUUAAGGUCCCAUAUAAAGUGAUGAGACCCACAUGACUCUCACUCAAUUAGAAAGUGAGAGUUAGAGAGAGUCUUGCUAGCAUUCCUUUCAUGUGUUUUAAGUAUUUUUGCUCAUUAUUUCUUGAAACAUACACUUACGAUCAAAUAGCACAAAUGCUACACAUUCAUUACUAUCAAUAGUUAGAAUCUUGAUAUAAUAUCUAAGUGAAAUUAUAUCAAUUAUUGAUAUUAUUGGUUGUACAAAAAGUUAUGCAGGAAACAUAAACAUUGAAAAUUAAAGAAAUAUAUAUUCCUAAAGAAAUAUAUAUUCCUAAUUCAUAAUAACAUGCUUGUUGCACUUUUCGCAGUAGUACAUUUUAAAGUUAAGGUAAACAGAUUUACUAUAAACACAUACAAUAUAUCCCAAUUUUCUGGGCUAGUAUACCAAUGCCAAAAACGAUCACAAUUAGUGGUAUGCUGUCUGCGUAUGCAGCAAACUUGUUUAUUUAAACUCCAAAAUAUAUUUCUUCGAAAAAUGCAACAAACAUAUAAUAUGAAUAUACUUUGUAGGUUAUUCAAAAAAGAAUUUACUUUGGAGGAAUACAGGUAUAUUUCUCUAUUUUUAUGUUUUAGUCACUGCACUAUAUUUUUUGAAUAAACAAUAAUCAUAGUAAUUGGUAUUUGUUUCAUUUAGAUUCUAUAUCAAAGGUUUGGGUUCUUGAUAACAUGUUGGUGCAAUUUUUGUGUUGUUUGAUUGCGAUGCAAGUAUUAUUUUAAUCCGAUCAUGUGCAGAAAUGGAUCGCAUGGUAAUAUUACUCUUGAAAAUGCUGGAAAACCACUCUUCACUCAUUCCAAUUCCGAUCUUAUUUUAUCUGUUAGUAUUAUUCGUGAUCUGUGUGAAGUAAUUUUGUAAAUUUUAAGUGGUAACAUUACAAACAAGACUUAUUAUCAAACAAUCUGUUGGUAUUUCUUCACUUUGUUUUUUUGUUUUUUGUUUUUAAUUCUGCUAUUGAAUUAUUUUAUUGGACAUUCGUUGAUAUAACUUUGUAAAUUCACAAAAAAUUGGAUGUGAUGAUAGUAAUUGUCGCCCCAGUCUUAAUUUGCACUUUUAAGUG